Molecule: ribosomal RNA, 253 nt
Filed under: uncultured bacterium
Lineage: Bacteria
Description: partial 16S ribosomal RNA
Rfam family: Bacterial small subunit ribosomal RNA
Source: RNAcentral
UACAGAGGUCUCAAGCGUUGUUCGGAUUCAUUGGGCGUAAAGAGCGUGUAGGCGGCCCGGUAAGUCCGCUGUGAAAGUCGGGGGCUCAACCCUCGAAUGCCGGUGGAUACUGUCGGGCUAGAGUGCGGAAGAGGCGAGUGGAAUUCCUGGUGUAGCGGUGAAAUGCGCAGAUAUCAGGAGGAACACCGAUUGCGAAGGCAGCUCGCUGGGACGUCACUGACGCUGAGACGCGAAAGCGUGGGGAGCAAACAGG